This is a long non-coding RNA of Andrographis paniculata, 380 nucleotides long. RefSeq lists it as uncharacterized. The record is from RefSeq and is a predicted model, not a curated record. The transcript has 2 exons. NCBI's taxonomy places the organism in Eukaryota, Viridiplantae, Streptophyta, Magnoliopsida, Lamiales, Acanthaceae.
AUUAAAAGACUCAUUAGGGAAUAUCCCAAAUUUCAUCUUCUUCACCAUCAUCAUCUAUUUCUAUUUUUCUCUCUAUGUAACAAUGGCAGGUUUCUAUUUAGUUCUGGUUUUGGCUAUUUUACCUGUGGGGUUUGGGCAGCAGCAAGAGUGCUAUGAAAUACACCCAGAAAUCUUGUGUGUGAGAGGCAGUACUGAUGACUGCUCUGCUUUCUGCAAAUUAAAAUUUGGGGAAAAUACCACUGUUCAGUGUAUUGAAAAUGUUGGAUUUGUUGGCCCUUUUUGUGUCUGUAAUGACUGUCCCAGGCCUUAGAAGCAACAAUUUUUUUUUUAAAUAAUAUUUUAUGCUGAGAUGAAUCAAAUCAUAUUUUGAAUAGACUGUA